Girardinichthys multiradiatus is the source of this 221-nucleotide long non-coding RNA. RefSeq lists it as uncharacterized. The record is from RefSeq and is a predicted model, not a curated record. The transcript has 4 exons. Lineage: Eukaryota; Metazoa; Chordata; Actinopteri; Cyprinodontiformes; Goodeidae.
CCCAGACAAGGACUGUCCCAUAACUGUGGCAUUUUCAUAUUGAUGUAGGCUUUGUACAUCACUCUUGGUGGGCAGUUCCGACUUCUCAGAGGCUGACAUGCCAACCAUUAGGCUAUGGUGGUCUGACCUUCUGCUUGAGAACUUUCCUGCAAGGUCCAUGAUUGAGAGACAGUGUUCCAAGAAAAAACUGAAGGCAGCUCAUCACCAAAGCGGACAGACAG